AGUCUUUCCUGAAUAGCAGAGCAGUCCUGUCGCUUUAAACAGAGCAAGGCAGCUUUCACUGCUUUUGAAUCCCGACCGAGCGGGGCACUGCCGUGCUUUGUUUUCUUUGCCUUUAAGAGUGCAAUAGUCCACUAAUCAAAUUCUUUCAUCAAAAGAGUGUUGGGACAAAUCCCUGACAUCGUCCUUCCACUGUGAUUUGGAGAUGACCUCCACCCAGGUUUCACUUCCGUUGUACCCAGCUCUCGUCUUAUUUUUGUCCCUCAUUUUGUGAAUUUAUCCUCUCACUACGCUUGAUAACUAACCUUGGCGCAAACCCACAACUGUGGUGACGCAAAUCAGGUUGGAACUUGGCAUCGUUGUGUGCGGGCAGUGAGGGACUUACUGUAAAAACUGGGGCCUUCAUAAAGGCGUUCUUAUUUGCAAU
RNAcentral lists this long non-coding RNA (424 nucleotides) under Homo sapiens (human). RNAcentral describes it as "non-protein coding lnc-ARRDC3-2:2". The record is from RNAcentral. Lineage: Eukaryota; Metazoa; Chordata; Mammalia; Primates; Hominidae.